AGUGAGGAAUAUUGCGCAAUGGGGGAAACCCCGACGCAGCGACGCCGUGUGGGUGAGGAAGGCUUUCGGGUCGUAAAGCCCUGUCAGGUGGGAAGAAAUGGUUAACGGUUAAUACCCGUUAGUUUUGACGGUACCACCAAAGGAAGCACCGGCUAACUCCGUGCCAGCAGCCGCGGUAAUACGGAGGGUGCAAGCGUUGUUCGGAAUUACUGGGCGUAAAGGGCGUGCAGGCGGUUUGGUAAGUCAGAUGUGAAAGCCCUGGGCUUAACCCGGGAAGUGCAUUUGAAACUGCUUGGCUUGAGUAUCAGAGGGGAAAGUGGAAUUCCCGGUGUAGAGGUGAAAUUCGUAGAUAUCGGGAGGAAUACCGGUGGCGAAGGCGACUUUCUGGCUGAAUACUGACGCUGAGGCGCGAAAGCGUGGGGAGCAAACAGGAUUAGAUACCCUGGUAGUCCACGCCGUAAACGAUGUCAACUAGGUGCAGGGGGUGUUGAUCCCCUCUGUGCCGCAGUUAACGCAUUAAGUUCUCCGCCUGGGGAGUACGGCCGCAAGGCUAAAACUCAAAGGAAUUGACGGAA
Molecule: ribosomal RNA, 575 nt
Filed under: uncultured bacterium
Lineage: Bacteria
Description: bacterial SSU rRNA
Rfam family: Bacterial small subunit ribosomal RNA
Source: RNAcentral